Molecule: ribosomal RNA, 440 nt
Filed under: Friedmanniella sp. UPUM10
Lineage: Bacteria; Bacillati; Actinomycetota; Actinomycetes; Propionibacteriales; Nocardioidaceae
Description: bacterial SSU rRNA
Rfam family: Bacterial small subunit ribosomal RNA
Source: RNAcentral
GCUAMCAUGCAGUCGAACGGUAAGGCCCCUUCGGGGGUACACGAGUGGCGAACGGGUGAGUAACACGUGAGCAACCUGCCCUUGACUUCGGAAUACCAGCUGGAAACAGCUGCUAAUACCGGAUAUGACACUUGCCCUCAUGGGUGGGUGUGGAAAGCUCCGGCGGUCAGGGAUGGGCUCGCGGCCUAUCAGCUUGUUGGKGAGGUAAUGGCUCACCAAGGCUUCGACGGGUAGCCGGCCUGAGAGGGCGACCGGMCACACUGGGACUGAGAUACGGCCCAGACUCCUACSGGAGGCAGCAGUGGGGAAUAUUGCACAAUGGGCGCAAGCCUGAUGCAGCAACGCCGCGUGCGGGAUGACGGCCUUCGGGUUGUAAACCGCUUUCAGUAGGGACSAAGCUAASGUGACGGUACCUACAGAAGAAGGACCGGCUAACUACG